UUCUUGGAUUAUAGUUAAAUCUGUAGUUUUUAUUUGAUUGACAAAUUAAUGUUGCGGUCUUCUCACUAGUUGCCUGACACAGGAAGCUACCGCUAGUUAGCGAGCUUGCUAGGCUAUUGGGGAGUAGCGGUGUUGACACGUUUCAGUCACAGGAGGCAGUAACCAGACUAGAAGUGUAACCUGCCCGCUACGACAACAUGGGUAUCCUGGAGAAGAUAGGAGAGAUAGAGAGAUCUCUCGAACACAGAAAAACAAAGCCACAGAGUACCAUCUGGGCCUGCUGAAGGCUAAGCUAGCGAAGUACC
Molecule: long non-coding RNA, 305 nt
Organism: Oncorhynchus keta (chum salmon)
Lineage: Eukaryota; Metazoa; Chordata; Actinopteri; Salmoniformes; Salmonidae
Exons: 3
Source: RefSeq, a predicted model, not a curated record